Molecule: ribosomal RNA, 420 nt
Filed under: uncultured bacterium
Lineage: Bacteria
Description: bacterial SSU rRNA
Rfam family: Bacterial small subunit ribosomal RNA
Source: RNAcentral
ACGGAAUAUUGGACAAUGGAGGCAACUCUGAUCCAGCCAUCCCGCGUGGAGGAAUAAUGCCCUAUGGGUUGUAAACUCCUUUAGCUAGGGAAUAAAUCAGUGGAUUCAUCCGCUGUUGAAGGUACCUAGAGAAUAAGCACCGGCUAACUCCGUGCCAGCAGCCGCGGUAAUACGGAGGGUGCAAGCGUUAUCCGGAUUUACUGGGUUUAAAGGGUGCGUAGGCGGGUUUUUAAGUCAGAUGUGAAAGCCUUGAGCUUAACUCAAGAACUGCGUUUGAUACUGGAGACCUUGAAUUCGAUAGAAGUGGGCGGAAUAAUUCAUGUAGCGGUGAAAUGCUUAGAUAUGAAUUAGAACACCAAUUGCGAAGGCAGCUCACUAUGUCGAUAUUGACGCUGAGGCACGAAAGCGUGGGGAUCAAAC